GACGAACGCUGGCGGCGUGCUUAACACAUGCAAGUCGAACGGAAAGGCCCUGCUUUUGUGGGGUGCUCGAGUGGCGAACGGGUGAGUAACACGUGAGUAACCUGCCCUUGACUUUGGGAUAACUUCAGGAAACUGGGGCUAAUACCGGAUAGGAGCUCCUGCUGCAUGGUGGGGGUUGGAAAGUUUCGGCAGUUGGGGAUGGACUCGCGGCUUAUCAGCUUGUUGGUGGGGUAGUGGCUUACCAAGGCUUUGACGGGUAGCCGGCCUGAGAGGGUGACCGGCCACAUUGGGACUGAGAUACGGCCCAGACUCCUACGGGAGGCAGCAGUGGGGAAUAUUGCACAAUGGGCGGAAGCCUGAUGCAGCAACGCCGCGUGCGGGAUGACGGCCUUCGGGUUGUAAACCGCUUUCGCCUGUGACGAAGCGUGAGUGACGGUAAUGGGUAAAGAAGCACCGGCUAACUACGU
This 467-nucleotide ribosomal RNA is filed under the name uncultured bacterium. RNAcentral describes it as "partial 16S ribosomal RNA". It matches the Rfam family "Bacterial small subunit ribosomal RNA", at positions 28 to 506 of the family's 1533-position model. The record is from RNAcentral.